This 253-nucleotide ribosomal RNA is filed under the name uncultured bacterium. Its description in RNAcentral is "partial 16S ribosomal RNA". It matches the Rfam family "Bacterial small subunit ribosomal RNA", at positions 524 to 776 of the family's 1533-position model. The record is from RNAcentral.
UACGUAGGGUGCAAGCGUUGUCCGGAAUUAUUGGGCGUAAAGAGCUCGUAGGCGGUUUGUCGCGUCUGCUGUGAAAACUCGGGGCUUAACUCCGGGCUUGCAGUGGGUACGGGCAGACUAGAGUGCGGUAGGGGAGACUGGAAUUCCUGGUGUAGCGGUGAAAUGCGCAGAUAUCAGGAGGAACACCGGUGGCGAAGGCGGGUCUCUGGGCCUUACCUGACGCUGAGGAGCGAAAGCGUGGGGAGCGAACAGG